UAAAGAAAGCGUAAUAGCUCACUGGUCGAGUCGGCCUGCGCGGAAGAUGUAACGGGGCUAAACCAUGCACCGAAGCUGCGGCAGCGACGCUGAUGCGUUGUUGGGUAGGGGAGCGUUCUGUAAGCCUGUGAAGGUGUACUGUGAGGUAUGCUGGAGGUAUCAGAAGUGCGAAUGCUGACAUAAGUAACGAUAAAGCGGGUGAAAAGCCCGCUCGCCGGAAGACCAAGGGUUCCUGUCCAACGUUAAUCGGGGCAGGGUGAGUCGACCCCUAAGGCGAGGCCGAAAGGCGUAGUCGAUGGGAAACAGGUUAAUAUUCCUGUA
This 321-nucleotide ribosomal RNA is filed under the name Escherichia coli. Its description in RNAcentral is "partial 23S ribosomal RNA". It matches the Rfam family "Bacterial large subunit ribosomal RNA", at positions 1124 to 1443 of the family's 2925-position model. The record is from RNAcentral. Lineage: Bacteria; Pseudomonadati; Pseudomonadota; Gammaproteobacteria; Enterobacterales; Enterobacteriaceae.